Molecule: ribosomal RNA, 413 nt
Filed under: uncultured bacterium
Lineage: Bacteria
Description: partial 16S ribosomal RNA
Rfam family: Bacterial small subunit ribosomal RNA
Source: RNAcentral
UGGGGAAUUUUGGACAAUGGGCGAAAGCCUGAUCCAGCAAUGCCGCGUGUGUGAAGAAGGCCUUCGGGUUGUAAAGCACUUUUGUCCGGAAAGAAAUCCUUGGCUCUAAUACAGUCGGGGGAUGACGGUACCGGAAGAAUAAGCACCGGCUAACUACGUGCCAGCAGCCGCGGUAAUACGUAGGGUGCAAGCGUUAAUCGGAAUUACUGGGCGUAAAGCGUGCGCAGGCGGUUUGCUAAGACCGAUGUGAAAUCCCCGGGCUCAACCUGGGAACUGCAUUGGUGACUGGCAGGCUAGAGUAUGGCAGAGGGGGGUAGAAUUCCACGUGUAGCAGUGAAAUGCGUAGAGAUGUGGAGGAAUACCGAUGGCGAAGGCAGCCCCCUGGGCCAAAUACUGACGCUCAUGCACGAAAG